GGGGAUGCGGCUCAGUGGUAUAGCUCUUGUCUUGCAUGCCCAAGGCCCUGGGUUCAGUUCCCAGCAUCACCA
This 72-nucleotide transfer RNA is filed under the name Cavia porcellus (domestic guinea pig). It matches the Rfam family "tRNA". From Rfam's summary of the family: Transfer RNA (tRNA) molecules are approximately 80 nucleotides in length. Lineage: Eukaryota; Metazoa; Chordata; Mammalia; Rodentia; Caviidae. The record is from Rfam by way of RNAcentral.